This 334-nucleotide long non-coding RNA is filed under the name Durio zibethinus. Its description in RNAcentral is "long non-coding RNA (DZIB_LNC001271)". Lineage: Eukaryota; Viridiplantae; Streptophyta; Magnoliopsida; Malvales; Malvaceae. The record is from RNAcentral.
UCGAAUUUGAGCAAUUUCCACCUCGGAUUAAUCACACCAAAUACAUUGAUAUAUGCCAGCCAUUGAAUGGAAGGUUACAAGAAGUAUAAAAUAAACAUGUAAUUCCAAUUUUAUUUUUCGUCUGGCAAAAUUUCUUGGACAUACGUUGAUGCCCAAACCAAAGAUCCAAGAACAAUCCUCCAGGGACCUGUCCUGUUCCUGAAAAAACAGAAGUAAAAAUGUUCAAAGCUACUGCAAUAAUAAAAAAAGAUUUGAUUUAAAACAUGAAGCAUUCGCACCUCUACUCUUUGACAUAUGAAUUCGUUUGCGGGGUAGAUGCUUGGCAAGUUGAAAU